GGGGCUGUAGCUCAGUUGGGAGAGCACCUGCUUUGCAAGCAGGGGGUCGUCGGUUCAAUUCCGUCCAGCUCCACCA
RNAcentral lists this transfer RNA (76 nucleotides) under Nitrospira sp. RNAcentral's name for it is "tRNA-Ala". It matches the Rfam family "tRNA". Rfam says of the family: Transfer RNA (tRNA) molecules are approximately 80 nucleotides in length. Their secondary structure includes four short double-helical elements and three loops (D, anti-codon, and T loops). RNAcentral also lists the same sequence under 10 other names. Lineage: Bacteria; Pseudomonadati; Nitrospirota; Nitrospiria; Nitrospirales; Nitrospiraceae. The record is from RNAcentral.